UGGGGAAUCUUGCACAAUGGGCGAAAGCCUGAUGCAGCGACGCCGCGUGGGUGAUGAAGGCCUUCGGGUCGUAAAGCCCUGUCAGAAGGAAAGAACGAUCUUAUGGUGAAUACCCAUGAGAUGUGACGGUACCUUCGAAGGAAGCACCGGCCAAUUCCGUGCCAGCAGCCGCGGUAAGACGGAAGGUGCAAGCGUUGCUCGGAAUCACUGGGCGUAAAGGGUGCGUAGGCGGCUUCUUAAGUCUGGUGUGAAAGCCCAGGGCUCAGCUCUGGAAGUGCACUAGAUACUGGGAAGCUUGAGUAUCGGAGGGGAGAGUGGAAUUCCUGGUGUAGCGGUGAAAUGCGUAGAUAUCAGGAGGAAUACCGGUGGCGAAAGCGACUCUCUGGACGAUUACUGACGCUGAGGCACGAAAGCGUGGGGAGCAAACAGGAUUAGAUACCCAUGUAGUCCCUGAGCGGGCUGGCAAGGCGCAU
This 473-nucleotide ribosomal RNA is filed under the name uncultured bacterium. Its description in RNAcentral is "bacterial SSU rRNA". It matches the Rfam family "Bacterial small subunit ribosomal RNA", at positions 355 to 825 of the family's 1533-position model. The record is from RNAcentral.